RNAcentral lists this ribosomal RNA (391 nucleotides) under uncultured bacterium. Its description in RNAcentral is "bacterial SSU rRNA". It matches the Rfam family "Bacterial small subunit ribosomal RNA", at positions 28 to 410 of the family's 1533-position model. The record is from RNAcentral.
GAUGAACGCUGGCGGCGUGCCUAAUACAUGCAAGUCGAACGAGGUGCUUUUGUAGCAAUACGAGAGUAUCCUAGUGGCGAACGGGUGAGUAACGCGUGGAUGACCUGCCCCAAAGUGUGGGAUAACAGUCCGAAAGGAUUGCUAAUACCUCAUGUGGUUAUCGGUUUUAGAAAGCGAUAACUAAAGCAGCAAUGCGCUUUGGGAGGGAUCUGCGUCCCAUCAGCUAGUUGGUGAGGUAACGGCUCACCAAGGCGACGACGGGUAGGGGACCUGAGAGGGUGGCCCCCCANAAUGGAACUGAAACACGGUCCAUACACCUACGGGUGGCAGCAGUUAGGGAAUAUUGCUCAAUGGGCGAAAGCCUGAAGCAGCAACGCCGCGUUGUGCGAUG